This 492-nucleotide ribosomal RNA is filed under the name uncultured bacterium. RNAcentral describes it as "partial 16S ribosomal RNA". It matches the Rfam family "Bacterial small subunit ribosomal RNA", at positions 29 to 507 of the family's 1533-position model. The record is from RNAcentral.
AGUGAACGCUGGCGGUAGGCCUAACACAUGCAAGUCGAACGGCAGCACAGUAAGCGCUUGCUCUUACGGGUGGCGAGUGGCGGACGGGUGAGGAAUACAUCGGAAUCUACUUUUUCGUGGGGGAUAACGUAGGGAAACUUACGCUAAUACCGCAUACGACCUACGGGUGAAAGCAGGGGAUCUUCGGACCUUGCGCGAUUGAAUGAGCCGAUGUCGGAUUAGCUAGUUGGCGGGGUAAAGGCCCACCAAGGCGACGAUCCGUAGCUGGUCUGAGAGGAUGAUCAGCCACACUGGAACUGAGACACGGUCCAGACUCCUACGGGAGGCAGCAGUGGGGAAUAUUGGGCAAUGGGCGCAAGCCUGACCCAGCCAUGCCGCGUGGGUGAAGAAGGCCUUCGGGUUGUAAAGCCCUUUUGUUGGGAAAGAAAAGCAGCAGGUUAAUACCCCGCUGUUCUGACGGUACCCAAAGAAUAAGCACCGGCUAACUUCGUG